RNAcentral lists this ribosomal RNA (301 nucleotides) under uncultured bacterium. RNAcentral's name for it is "partial 16S ribosomal RNA". It matches the Rfam family "Bacterial small subunit ribosomal RNA", at positions 509 to 809 of the family's 1533-position model. The record is from RNAcentral.
CAGCAGCCGCGGGAAAACGGAGGGUGCAAGCGUUAAUCGGAAUUACUGGGCGUAAAGCGCACGCAGGCGGUCUGACAAGUCAGAUGUGAAAUCCCCGGGCUUAACCUGGGAACUGCAUUUGAAACUGUCAGGCUGGAGUCUUGUAGAGGGGGGUGGAAUUCCAGGUGUAGCGGUGAAAUGCGUAGAGAUCUGGAGGAAUACCGGUGGCGAAGGCGGCCCCCUGGACAAAGACUGACGCUCAGGUGCGAAAGCGUGGGGAGCAAACAGGAUUAGAGACCCCGGUAGUCCCUGUCUCUUAUAA